CACCAUCAAGGUCUCCCAACUAUCUAACAAAGAACUCAAAAUAAUAAUAUCUGCAUUUCAUCAUCUAGAGUUAUUUUUAUGGUGCUCAAUUGAUUUACUAAGUCUUGAAAUUUACUCAAGUAUUCUGCUAUUGAUCAUCAAUCUCAUAACUUUCUGAUAAUAAAAACCUUAUUCUAAGCACUUUCAUGUGUAUAUACUUUCUAAUUUCUUUGAAAAAACCUAUACAUUAGCUUUUUUACUUAUGUAAUGGUAGACAAUGAUAUCCACUAAUUGUCGGAUAGUUCUUACAGUUUUUUUGUGCAUUUUCUCCCACUCAU
RNAcentral lists this long non-coding RNA (317 nucleotides) under Carica papaya (papaya). RNAcentral's name for it is "long non-coding RNA (CPAP_LNC002403)". The record is from RNAcentral. Lineage: Eukaryota; Viridiplantae; Streptophyta; Magnoliopsida; Brassicales; Caricaceae.